UUCCUCGUAGUAUAGUGGCCAGUAUCCCCCGCCUGACACGCGGGAGACUGGUGUUUGAUUCCCGUCGGGGAGU
Non-coding RNA from Dryococelus australis, 73 nucleotides. Lineage: Eukaryota; Metazoa; Arthropoda; Insecta; Phasmatodea; Phasmatidae. The record is from the annotation of a GenBank genome assembly.